RNAcentral lists this unclassified non-coding RNA (389 nucleotides) under soil metagenome. RNAcentral describes it as "partial contains 5.8S ribosomal RNA, internal transcribed spacer 2, and large subunit ribosomal RNA". The stretch from base 1 to 122 matches the Rfam family "5.8S ribosomal RNA", at positions 35 to 154 of the family's 154-position model. The record is from RNAcentral.
GAUGAAGAACGUAGCGAAAUGCGAUACUUGGUGUGAAUUGCAGAAUCCCGUGAACCAUCGAGUCUUUGAACGCAAGUUGCGCCCGAAGCCAUUAGGCCGAGGGCACGCCUGCCUGGGCGUCACACGUCGUUGCCCCCCCAUCUACUCCUUCGGGAUUGCGGGGGGCGGAUGAUGGCCUCUCGUGCGCCUCGUCGCGCGGUUGGCCUAAAUGCCAAGUCCUCGGCGACGCACGCCACGACAAUCGGUGGUUGCGAAACCUCGGUUGCCUGUCGUGUGCGGUCGUCGCGCAUCGAGGGCUCGAAAAAAUUGCCGGGCUUCGGCUCGACUUUCAACGCGACCCCAGGUCAGGCGGGGUUACCCGCUGAAUUUAAGCAUAUCAAUAAGCGAGG